GUCUACAGCCAAACCACCCUUGAACACGCCUCAUCUCGUCUGAUCUUGGAAGCUCAGCAGGGUGGGGCCUGGUUAGUACUUGGAUAGGAGACUGCCUUGGGAAUACAGGGUGCUGUAGGCU
RNAcentral lists this ribosomal RNA (121 nucleotides) under Microtus ochrogaster (prairie vole). The record is from RNAcentral. Lineage: Eukaryota; Metazoa; Chordata; Mammalia; Rodentia; Cricetidae.